This 766-nucleotide long non-coding RNA is filed under the name Mytilus galloprovincialis (Mediterranean mussel). The record is from RNAcentral. Lineage: Eukaryota; Metazoa; Mollusca; Bivalvia; Mytilida; Mytilidae.
AAACAAGUGAAACUGCGAGCUACUGCUCACUGAUGAUACCCCCCGCCGCAAGUGGAUAAUAUUAAUAGUGUAAAAAUAUGCAAGUGUUCGGUAAACAGGAAGUUGUCGAGUGAUGAAUCUGAAAACGCAUCACACGGUAUAGCUGACUUAUAAAAAUCCUGAAACCAAAUUUCAGAAAUCCUUGUAUUGUAGUUCCUGAGAAAAAUAUGACGAAAAUUUUUAACUUGGUUAUCAUGUGUAAAAUCAUACAAGUGUCGGUAAACAGGAAGUUGUCGAGUGAUGAAUCUGAAAACGCAUCACAACGGUAUAGCUGACUUAUAUAAAUCCUGAAACCAAAUUUCAGAAUCCUUGUAUUGUAGUUCCCUGAGAAAAAUGUGACGAAAAUUUUCAACUUGGCUAUCAUGUGUAAAAUCAUACAAGUGUUCGGUAAACAAGAAGUUGUCGAGUGAUGAAUCUGAAAACGCAUCACACGGUAUAGCUGACUUAUAUAAAUCCUGAAACCAAAUGUCAGAAAUCCUUGUAUUGUAGUUCCUGAGAAAAAUGUGACGAAAAUUUUCAACUUGGCUGUCAUGUGUAAAAUCAGACAAGUGUUCGGUAAACAGGAAGUUGUCAAGUGAUGAAUCUGUAAACGCAUCACACGGUAUGGCUGACAUAUAUAAAUGUUGAUACCAAAUUACAGAAAGGGUGGAUGUGUAGUUCCUGAGAAAAAUGUGACGAAAGUUUCAUGGGACGGACUGACUGACGGACUGACAGACAGAGGUAAAAC